RNAcentral lists this ribosomal RNA (524 nucleotides) under uncultured Bacteroides sp. Its description in RNAcentral is "bacterial SSU rRNA". It matches the Rfam family "Bacterial small subunit ribosomal RNA", at positions 8 to 521 of the family's 1533-position model. Lineage: Bacteria; Pseudomonadati; Bacteroidota; Bacteroidia; Bacteroidales; Bacteroidaceae. The record is from RNAcentral.
AGAGUUUGAUCCUGGCUCAGGAUGAACGCUAGCUACAGGCUUAACACAUGCAAGUCGAGGGGCAGCAUGAACUUAGCUUGCUAAGUUUGAUGGCGACCGGCGCACGGGUGAGUAACACGUAUCCAACCUUCCGUUUACUCAGGGAUAGCCUUUCGAAAGAAAGAUUAAUACCUGAUAGUAUGGUGAGAUUGCAUGAUGGCACCAUUAAAGAUUUAUUGGUAAACGAUGGGGAUGCGUUCCAUUAGGUAGUAGGCGGGGUAACGGCCCACCUAGCCUGCGAUGGAUAGGGGUUCUGAGAGGAAGGUCCCCCACAUUGGAACUGAGACACGGUCCAAACUCCUACGGGAGGCAGCAGUGAGGAAUAUUGGUCAAUGGGCGAGAGCCUGAACCAGCCAAGUAGCGUGAAGGAUGAAGGUCCUACGGAUUGUAAACUUCUUUUAUACGGGAAUAAAGUUUCCUACGUGUAGGAUUUUGUAUGUACCGUAUGAAUAAGCAUCGGCUAACUCCGUGCCAGCAGCCGCGGU